GGGGGAUUAGCUCAGCUGGGAGAGCGCUUGCAUGGCAUGCAAGAGGUCAUCGGUUCAAAUCCGUUAUCCUCCA
Molecule: transfer RNA, 73 nt
Filed under: Planctomyces sp.
Lineage: Bacteria; Pseudomonadati; Planctomycetota; Planctomycetia; Planctomycetales; Planctomycetaceae
Also listed under: 1 other name
Description: tRNA-Ala
Rfam family: tRNA
About the family: Transfer RNA (tRNA) molecules are approximately 80 nucleotides in length. Their secondary structure includes four short double-helical elements and three loops (D, anti-codon, and T loops). Further hydrogen bonds mediate the characteristic L-shaped molecular structure. tRNAs have two regions of fundamental functional importance: the anti-codon, which is responsible for specific mRNA codon recognition, and the 3' end, to which the tRNAs corresponding amino acid is attached (by aminoacyl-tRNA synthetases). tRNAs cope with the degeneracy of the genetic code in two manners: having more than one tRNA (with a specific anti-codon) for a particular amino acid; and 'wobble' base-pairing, i.e. permitting non-standard base-pairing at the 3rd anti-codon position.
Source: RNAcentral